This 341-nucleotide long non-coding RNA is filed under the name Mytilus galloprovincialis (Mediterranean mussel). The record is from RNAcentral. Lineage: Eukaryota; Metazoa; Mollusca; Bivalvia; Mytilida; Mytilidae.
UAUAUCUUAUAUAUGCAGUAUAGUGAUGUUUGGCAGUAAUUACUGAAAAGCUGUAUGUUUAGUAAAACGGCGAAGAUGGAAUCAUGUACUUUUCAAGUAAGUUACUCAUGUGCAUGCGAUAACUUAACAAAGGUUAAGGGACUUUUAUUAUGAAAAUGAUCCUAGUAAGAUCAGUUUCACAUUUAACGGCGCAUAUCUAAUCUAAAAAGCCGAACUAUUAAAUCAAGCGAUAAUUCCCGAAAGUUCAUCAAAAUUGUUGAGGCUUGCGAUUGAUAAGCAGUGACCAUGCAGACAUGGACACAAACUCACCCGAUAAAUUGUUUGCGUUCACCUGUACAAGC